UACGAAGGGGGCUAGCGUUGUUCGGAAUCACUGGGCGUAAAGGGUGCGUAGGUGGGUAGGUAAGUCAGUGGUGAAAUCUUCGAGCUUAACUCGGAAACUGCCAUUGAUACUAUCUGUCUUGAAUACUUUGGAGGUAAGCGGAAUAUGUCAUGUAGCGGUGAAAUGCUUAGAUAUGACAUAGAACACCAAUUGCGAAGGCAGCUUACUACACAGUCAUUGACACUGAGGCACGAAAGCGUGGGGAUCAAACAGG
Molecule: ribosomal RNA, 253 nt
Filed under: uncultured bacterium
Lineage: Bacteria
Description: partial 16S ribosomal RNA
Rfam family: Bacterial small subunit ribosomal RNA
Source: RNAcentral